This 74-nucleotide transfer RNA is filed under the name Nesterenkonia xinjiangensis. It matches the Rfam family "tRNA". Rfam says of the family: Transfer RNA (tRNA) molecules are approximately 80 nucleotides in length. Their secondary structure includes four short double-helical elements and three loops (D, anti-codon, and T loops). Lineage: Bacteria; Bacillati; Actinomycetota; Actinomycetes; Micrococcales; Micrococcaceae. RNAcentral also lists the same sequence under 4 other names. The record is from Rfam by way of RNAcentral.
GGCCCAGUGGCGCAGUUGGUUAGCGCGCCACCCUGUCACGGUGGAGGUCGCGGGUUCAAGUCCCGUCUGGGUCG